CGGCAACUCCUGCUCUUUUCUUUUCUUUUCUUUUCUCUCUAUUCUCUCCUCUGCUUUUUGUGGACGUGUCCUGUUUUCUUGGACAGGUGCCUAUUUUACAGGCGUGGAUUUCCGGCAAGACGCAGUACUCCCGGCGACUCUCGUUCAGACUCGCGGCAGGACGCAAUAGAACUACACGUUCUGCUAAGCUUCAGGAAAACUUGGGCGCAUCGAAGCAGACUUUCAG
This 226-nucleotide long non-coding RNA is filed under the name Nicotiana benthamiana. Its description in RNAcentral is "long non-coding RNA (NBEN_LNC033103)". The record is from RNAcentral. Lineage: Eukaryota; Viridiplantae; Streptophyta; Magnoliopsida; Solanales; Solanaceae.